RNAcentral lists this ribosomal RNA (253 nucleotides) under uncultured bacterium. Its description in RNAcentral is "partial 16S ribosomal RNA". It matches the Rfam family "Bacterial small subunit ribosomal RNA", at positions 524 to 776 of the family's 1533-position model. The record is from RNAcentral.
UACAGAGGGGGCAAGCGUUAUUCGGAAUUAUUGGGCGUAAAGGGCGCGUAGGCGGCCUGGCAAGUGGAAGGUGAAAUCCCUCGGCUUAACCGAGGAACUGCCCUCCAAACUGCUUGGCUUGAGUCCGGGAGAGGUGAGUGGAAUUCCCAGUGUAGCGGUGAAAUGCGUAGAUAUUGGGAGGAACACCAGUGGCGAAGGCGGCUCACUGGAUCGGAACUGACGCUGAGGUGCGAAAGCGUGGGGAGCAAACAGG